This 24-nucleotide non-coding RNA is filed under the name Arabidopsis thaliana (thale cress). Lineage: Eukaryota; Viridiplantae; Streptophyta; Magnoliopsida; Brassicales; Brassicaceae. The record is from RNAcentral.
GGGACAGACAGUGUGGUGGUCCUU